AGUGAACGCUGGCGGUAGGCCUAACACAUGCAAGUCGAACGGCAGCACAGUAAGAGCUUGCUCUUACGGGUGGCGAGUGGCGGACGGGUGAGGAAUACAUCGGAAUCUACUUUUUCGUGGGGGAUAACGUAGGGAAACUUACGCUAAUACCGCAUACGACCUACGGGUGAAAGCAGGGGAUCUUCGGACCUUGCGCGAUUGAAUGAGCCGAUGUCGGAUUAGCUAGUUGGCGGGGUAAAGGCCCACCAAGGCGACGAUCCGUAGCUGGUCUGAGAGGAUGAUAAGCCACACUGGAACUGAGACACGGUCCAGACGCCUACGGGAGGCAGCAGUGGGGAAUAUUGGACAAAGGGCGCAAGCCUGAUCCAGCCAUACCGCGUGGGUGAAGAAGGCCUUCGGGUUGUAAAGCCCUUUUGUUGGGAAAGAAAAGCAGCAGGUUAAUACCCCGCUGUUCUGACGGUACCCAAAGAAUAAGCACCGGCUAACUUCGUG
RNAcentral lists this ribosomal RNA (492 nucleotides) under uncultured bacterium. RNAcentral describes it as "partial 16S ribosomal RNA". It matches the Rfam family "Bacterial small subunit ribosomal RNA", at positions 29 to 507 of the family's 1533-position model. The record is from RNAcentral.